This 1242-nucleotide small RNA is filed under the name Cryptococcus neoformans H99. RNAcentral describes it as "Cryptococcus neoformans var. grubii H99 hypothetical RNA". Lineage: Eukaryota; Fungi; Basidiomycota; Tremellomycetes; Tremellales; Cryptococcaceae. The record is from RNAcentral.
CUGUAAUUUGGACUUUGAUUGCUGUAAUUUCAUUCAAAUCCUUAUAUCUCCUUCAGUUCUGCAUACUAUGCUUGGCGCUUGAGGUAUGUGGUAGCCAGAGGCCGAUUCUAUUAAGUGUACGCUGCCAGCGGCGCGCAUGCAUCAAGAAAAUCGGUAAGUAACGAUGAUUCCAUUCUCACCCCUUUCGCGCCCACUGAGUCCGUUUUUAUAAUUCACAGAGCACUCGAAAUCAUCUCCAAACCAUCCUAAUUUCCAACGACACCUCCGUGACACAUAGGAAGACCCACUGGAAGCAAAAGAAUUGGACAGGAAGGCGUCAUAUCCGCAAAAUUGACAUCUGAAAAACAAAUUCUCUUUAUCACCUUUCCUCAUUCCGCCGUUUUGUGGAUCUUCAUCCAAAUCAUCUCCAUACCCAGCUCAAACGCCUAUAAGACCUCUUUGAUACCUUGAUAAUCACUUUGGUGGCGAAGGACUUGCACGAUAUCAGUUAACCUGCGGAAAUUACGUCUGGGAAUCGAACCCCCCUAUUUCCUCUUUCCUCCGAAGGCUAUAACGUUCGCUAUAUGAUAUUUGCUGGAGCCAGGAUGGUUUUCGGCCUCCAUAAGCCAGCGUUUGUCCAAUACAGCUGUUAUAAGGUGACCAAAUUUUUAUCUACUCACUCACGAAGCCGCUUCACGCUACUAAGUGCCAUUUCGUCUUGCUCCACAACCUGCUCAGGUUAUGAGAUGCCCUACCUAUGAACAAACCCAUGAUGCAAAUGGCUUGAAGCAUUAUAUUACAUAUUACAUGUCCCAAAAUUUGGAACCGCAUGCCUCAUUGCUACGACUACCACCAGUCAAGGUAAUUUGAGGACGAUGGAAAGUGCUGCAGAAGAUAACAGCAUUUCUAAGAAGUAUCCAUUUGCUGUAUAUGAAUCAAUCUCCAAAUCAUGGGCAAAAACGGUCCCACAGCGGCAGACUCCUCUCUGAUUAGCGCGCAGCUAUCACAGAAAUCAAUCCAGUAUUAUUCCCCCCCUUCAGUUCCUCCAAUACCUCCUCUCGGGCUAUAAUUACGAGAAAGGCAAGCUCUACUUCUCAGCCACUGAAAUAUGAGUCAGCCAACCAGACUCGUGACCUUCCGACGCGCUGUACCAUUCUCCAUCUUAUCUGAUAAUGAUAGGUCCAAAUCUUUCCCACCAUAAAGGUGGUCGACAUUCAGUUGAUUUUAUUACCGCUAAAUCUUAGUCGAAGCAUUGAAAAGACA